UACGGAGGAUGCAAGCGUUAUCCGGAAUGAUUGGGCGUAAAGCGUCCGCAGGCGGCUGUGUAAGUCUGCUGUCAAAGAGCAAAGCUCAACUUUGUAAAGGCAGUGGAAACUACACGGCUAGAGUGCGUUCGGGGCAGAGGGAAUUCCUGGUGGAGCGGUGAAAUGCGUUGAUAUCAUCAGGAACACCGGUGGCGAAAGCGGCUUACUGGGUCUCUUCUGACGCUGAGAAACGAAAGCUAGGGGAGCGAAGGGG
This 253-nucleotide ribosomal RNA is filed under the name uncultured bacterium. RNAcentral's name for it is "partial 16S ribosomal RNA". It matches the Rfam family "Bacterial small subunit ribosomal RNA", at positions 524 to 776 of the family's 1533-position model. The record is from RNAcentral.